UUUGAGUAGAAGGAGCUUUCGCUUGUUCCGUAAAUAAUGAAUGGUGGAGCUUCCGGCGGUGCCCGUGAAGGAUAUGUGCCUCCGCCGGAAUUCCUGGAAGAUGCGCAAGAAGCUCUGGUUGAUCUCGAUGCUUCCGGCUCCACUGAACUUUGGCUCAUUCAGUGGCCUAGAAAGAUGGUACCAUGACCGCUCGCUGUCCUUGGCCUCUGUUUUCCUCUGACGAAAUAAAGAACAAUGCCGGAUAGUACAUGGCUUGUCUAGUCUUCUCGCGUCAAAAUUGGAUUUUGCUCUUCCGAGAUUUUUAUGUUGCGGGUUAUGGGGGCUAGGAGAUACCAUCCAGCUCUAUUUUCAGCUAGAUGGCGCUCCUAAUUUUGAUGGCCAAGAACUCCCAACUCAAACUCGAUCACGACGGGAACUAGGGGACUUUUGAGGAUUUUUCUGGCAAGGAAUGCGAUUUGGUUAGUUCUGCUGCUCUAAAGCCCAGUACAACAGUUUUCACGUCCUCUUCCUCAGGUGGGCUGUGUCAUACUUGAUAUGUUCUAAGGCAAAUCAGCAAAAGUGGCUUCCUCUGAUAUUUGCUCUUCGAUAAUUUGCUGAUGCAAGUCACCAAUCAACUUCCAGAAACAGAAGGCGUGAAAAUGAAAAAAGAAACUACUUUGUGGAGCUAAACUCCAGUGAUAAUUCUUCCAUCAAUUGCAAUGAGUGUGUUGGCCAAUUUGCAGAGCCAGGAGUCGAGGCGCAACAAUUUAUCUGAAAUCCAGAUCAGUUUAGGCUAGCAGCAAGCAGUCUAUUACCUGAGACAUCUACUACCAAUUUAUUAUAACCUAGGCACUCUUCAGUCGUAGUAUCAAUUGCUUCCAUAUUGUUCUUGUCUUGUUUUUUGGUCACACUGGUUUCUUAUUAUUCAUGUUUGAUUUGAUAGACAAACUUUACUACAUCUGCUUAAAGCGCACAGUAUCGAUUGAGGCUACAUGGUUGGAACUGGAUUGAAUGUCCCUUUCACACUUCUUUUGCCUGCUUAGCCAUGCACUUCACUUGAUACUUUCUUAAAUAUUGCAUAUUAUGUUGUCUCUGCAUUCUUUUAUUCUAUGACCUCCGGUGCCUGCGUUUGCUGAUAUCUGGUUGCAUUGUGUACGCGUUAUGAUUUACUGGGUGGAGAUUUUUUUUAUUUAAUAUCAUUAAUUUGAGCAGCUGUUUUUCCAAGUUUAGUACUCAGAUUGGGAUGAAUGUUCUCUCCACCGGCAUUAUUAAGUUUAGCUGGUCUGCAUUCAGUUGUAGUUCGCUUUGCUUCUUAAAGAUAAUGCUUCCUAUUUUUAACAGUUGGGAAGAUUUCAAGGAGAGUCUCCCUGGUCUACUAUUAAGAUCCUAGUAAGCGCAAGAAACUCGCUUCUGAUGAUUUAAAAUCGUUGCAUCAGGAACCAUUCGGAACGUCAGUUACAGAUGCCUUCUGUCAAUUUUCCUGUGUGACAACAAACAGCAAAUGGAGAGGUUCACGUUCAUCCAGAGGAGCGGUCGGCAGGAAAGCGGUGUAGCUGAUGCUGAAGAGCCAUCGAAAACUUACAAGGAGACAUCCUCGUGAGUCCACUGCUUACUCGGGUUUGGGGAAUAGUAUUCGAGACUCAGGGCAUGGUCAUGGCAGGGCAACAACAUCUGCAGGAUUCUCGGAGAAUUCUCGAUAUCACGGUUCAGCUGCUUCAUCUCAAGCGAUGGAGCAUUCUGUCAAGAAAUCGAAGGACGGUGUUUUCUUGCCGAGCAUAACUUCUGAAUUGGAGCAAGGGGUUAUGUUCAUUGACAUAUGUUGUUGUUUUUUUUUUUUUUUUUUUAAGUUGCCGCUUCCUAGAGUUCAUUAGAUCUUUUAAUGAUGGAGUCUUUCCUUAAGCCAGGGCUUGGGAAGGCAAUCACGGAGAUUAGACCUUUCACCAACCCAUGUCGUUCUUGUUGUUGGUGACCCGCUGUUAAUUUCUUCGACUACCGCCAAGUCAUGAAAUUUUAAACUCGAUAUUUUUUACUGAAAUUUUUUG
Eucalyptus grandis is the source of this 2021-nucleotide long non-coding RNA. RefSeq lists it as uncharacterized. The transcript has 4 exons. The record is from RefSeq and is a predicted model, not a curated record. NCBI's taxonomy places the organism in Eukaryota, Viridiplantae, Streptophyta, Magnoliopsida, Myrtales, Myrtaceae.